RNAcentral lists this ribosomal RNA (253 nucleotides) under uncultured bacterium. RNAcentral describes it as "partial 16S ribosomal RNA". It matches the Rfam family "Bacterial small subunit ribosomal RNA", at positions 524 to 776 of the family's 1533-position model. The record is from RNAcentral.
UACGGAGGAUCCAAGCGUUAUCCGGAUUUAUUGGGUUUAAAGGGUGCGUAGGCGGAUUGAUAAGUUAGAGGUGAAAUGUCCGAGCUUAACUCGGGAACUGCCUCUAGUACUGUUGAUCUAGAGAGUAGAUGCGGUAGGCGGAAUGUAUGGUGUAGCGGUGAAAUGCUUAGAGAUCAUACAGAACACCGAUUGCGAAGGCAGCUUACCAAUCUAUAUCUGGCGUUGAGGCACGAAAGCGUGGGGAGCAAACAGG